This 482-nucleotide ribosomal RNA is filed under the name uncultured bacterium. Its description in RNAcentral is "bacterial SSU rRNA". It matches the Rfam family "Bacterial small subunit ribosomal RNA", at positions 30 to 503 of the family's 1533-position model. The record is from RNAcentral.
AUUGAACGCUGGCGGCAGGCUUAACACAUGCAAGUCGAGCGGAAACGAUGGUAGCUUGCUACCAGGCGUCGAGCGGCGGACGGGUGAGUAAUACUUAGGAAUCUACCUAGUAGUGGGGGAUAGCACGGGGAAACUCGUAUUAAUACCGCAUACGACCUACGGGAGAAAGGGGGCAGUUUACUGCUCUCGCUAUUAGAUGAGCCUAAGUCGGAUUAGCUAGAUGGUGGGGUAAAGGCCUACCAUGGCGACGAUCUGUAGCUGGUCUGAGAGGAUGAUCAGCCACACCGGGACUGAGACACGGCCCGGACUCCUACGGGAGGCAGCAGUGGGGAAUAUUGGACAAUGGGGGAAACCCUGAUCCAGCCAUGCCGCGUGUGUGAAGAAGGCCUUUUGGUUGUAAAGCACUUUAAGCAGUGAAGAAGACUCCGUGGUUAAUACCCACGGACGAUGACAUUAGCUGCAGAAUAAGCACCGGCUAACUC